RNAcentral lists this ribosomal RNA (253 nucleotides) under uncultured bacterium. RNAcentral describes it as "partial 16S ribosomal RNA". It matches the Rfam family "Bacterial small subunit ribosomal RNA", at positions 524 to 776 of the family's 1533-position model. The record is from RNAcentral.
UACAGAGGGGGCAAGCGUUGUUCGGAAUUACUGGGCGUAAAGGGCGCGUAGGCGGCCUUCUAAGUCGAACGUGAAAUCCCCGGGCUCAACCCGGGAACUGCGUCCGAUACUGGAAGGCUUGAAUCCGGGAGAGGGAUGCGGAAUUCCAGGUGUAGCGGUGAAAUUCGUAGAUAUCGGGAGGAACACCGGUGGCGAAGGCGGCGAUCUGGGUAGAUACUGACGCUGAGGUGCGAAAGCGUGGGGAGCAAACAGG